AGGAGCAUGUGGUUUAAUUCGAUGAUACGCGAGGAACCUUACCUGGGCUCGAACGUAAGAUGACUGUAGGUGAAAGCUUACAUCUCUUCGGAGCAUUUUACGAGGUGCUGCAUGGUUGUCGUCAGCUCGUGCCGUGAGGUGUCGGGUUAAGUCCCAUAACGAGCGCAACCCCUACCUUUAGUUGCCAUCAGGUAAUGCUGGGGACUCUAAAGGAACUGCCUACGCAAGUAGUGAGGAAGGCGGGGAUGACGUCAAAUCAGCACGGCCCUUACGUCCAGGGCUACACACGUGCUACAAUGGCCGAUACAGAGGGCAGCUACCUGGUGACAGGAUGCAAAUCUCCAAAGUCGGUCUCAGUUCGGAUCGGAGUCUGCAACCCGACUCCGUGAAGUUGGAUUCGCUAGUAAUCGCGCAUCAGCCAUGGCGCGGUGAAUACGUUCCCGGGCCUU
This 449-nucleotide ribosomal RNA is filed under the name uncultured Sphingobacteriales bacterium. Its description in RNAcentral is "bacterial SSU rRNA". It matches the Rfam family "Bacterial small subunit ribosomal RNA", at positions 933 to 1382 of the family's 1533-position model. The record is from RNAcentral. Lineage: Bacteria; Pseudomonadati; Bacteroidota; Sphingobacteriia; Sphingobacteriales.